This 289-nucleotide ribosomal RNA is filed under the name uncultured Mortierella. RNAcentral describes it as "partial large subunit ribosomal RNA". It matches the Rfam family "Eukaryotic large subunit ribosomal RNA", at positions 40 to 310 of the family's 3401-position model. The record is from RNAcentral. Lineage: Eukaryota; Fungi; Mortierellomycota; Mortierellomycetes; Mortierellales; Mortierellaceae.
AUAUCAAUAAGCGGAGGAAAAGAAACUAACAAGGAUUCCCCUAGUAACGGCGAGUGAAGCGGGAUGAGCUCAAAUUUUAAAAUCUGGCUGGUUUUUUACUAGUCCGAAUUGUAGUUUUUAUAGAAGCGUUUUUUCGGUGGCAGCCUGGGUAUAAAUCCUUUUUGGAAUAGGGUAUCAUAGAGGGUGAGAAUCCCGUCUUUGACUCAGUGCAUGCUACUAUGUGAUACGUUUUUUCAAAGAGUCGAGUUGUUUUUGGGAAUGCAGCUCAAAAUGGGUGGUAAAUUUUUUC